GAGAGAGGCCGCGUGGAUCUGAGCGCAUGCCCGUCGGGCUGCCGGGUCUGUGCUGGAAACCACAAACCUCGUGCGGGAACCUGAAGGACAGAGCGUCAAAGGUAUGGGAGCGGGGGCUUGCCCAGGUCCUCCGCAGGGUAUGGACAAAAACCCCAGCACAUGGUGACUCCGGAAACCCCAAACCCCUGCAAAAUGACAACCCGAGGAGAGUAGUGGGGUCUGGGAGUAAAAAGACCUGUCUUCUCCCCCAGCUCUACUGUGAGGUCAGCUGUAGGCAAAGCCGACUCCGGGCCUGUUUGCCACCUGCAGAAUGGGGGCACUGGACAAGACGGCCGCUGAGGGCUCCCAGCCCUGGGAGCUCCCUAAACCUGCUCCAGUUCCAGAGGAAGGAAGCUGAGAUGAGCGGCAGGUCUCAGCCAUUUAGGGUCAGGAAUGGGGGUGCAGCGCUCAGCUCUCAAGCCUGGAGCUUGUGGGAGGAUGAGUAAGAGAAGGGAAACAGGGACCCUGACACGAUUGGGGGACCCAUACUAUUGGGGUUCCUAGCAGGAAUGGGAGGCAAUACCAGGACUGGAAGCCUUCACAGGUUAAGGGGUGCUGAUCGGUUCAGGGACUCUUGCAAGAUAGAGAUUCACUAACAAGAUUGAGAAUCAGGGAUCCCUGGCUUAACUAGGCGGUGGGGAAUGGGGGGCAAGAGGAAUAGGGGUACUGCCCAAAUCGAGGAAGACCCGGGGUGCUUUGCAGGGCGUGAGAGCACCGUGGCAGGAUUGGGGAGCGCAGGCAGACCAGGAACUGACAUGGCUGGGGAGUCCGGAAGGACUGGGGGUGCCCUGAAAGGAUUAAGGGGUCCUGGGAGGCCUGCGAGGCCCUGAGAGGUCUGAGGGGCACUGGCAGAAUUCGGGGCUUUGACGAGCCCGAGGGUGUCUGGAAGUUCUGGAGACAAGGACAGGAUUGGAGGAGGCAGUGGCGGGCGGGGAUGGGAGGGCAGGGCGCUGAGAGAAUUUGGGGCGCUAGCAGAACUGGGGAGGGCUGACAGAAUUGCGUUGCCGAACGACUGGAGGCCCUGGAGGCCCAUCCCCCGUCCCGCCUCGGGGCCUGGGUCUCCUACCAAGCCCGACGCAGAAACCUCCAGAAUGCUCGCUCCGGCCCCGGGGACCCUGCCAGGGUCGUGAAAAGGCCGCCACAGGCCCAGGCUGGGGACCCUGGCCCCGGCCCCCCCGGCCCCCCCCCCCCCCCCCCCCCCCCCCAGGCUCACCUGACGGCCGCCCCGGUCCGCAGGAAGCGCUGGAUGGCCCUGUCGGCCGCGGUCAUCGCCGCCUGGGCCCGGGAGCUCAGCAUCGCGGCCGCGCGGGAGACCCGCCGCCGCGCCCCCCGCCGCCACCACCUCGCUGGACUGAGGGCUCCGAAGGCUCCCGAGGCGGCGGAACCCGCGGCCACAGUCCCAGCUCCUCCGGGGAAGGUAGGCCGGGGACCGGCUCCCCGGAGAACCGGAAGCAGCCGCCGCCGGAGAACAAGAGACGACGGACCACAUCCUUGUUUUUCUUUUUCCCCGCUUAGCAACGCGCGCGGGCGUCGGUUACCGAGGGAGGCCCUGCGGCCCGCUUGGUUUUUCAAGUUUUCGGGCUCCGUUCGUUUUACAUACGGGCGUCCCACUUCCAG
RNAcentral lists this long non-coding RNA (1656 nucleotides) under Lynx pardinus (Iberian lynx). The record is from RNAcentral. Lineage: Eukaryota; Metazoa; Chordata; Mammalia; Carnivora; Felidae.